This 499-nucleotide ribosomal RNA is filed under the name uncultured bacterium. Its description in RNAcentral is "partial 16S ribosomal RNA". It matches the Rfam family "Bacterial small subunit ribosomal RNA", at positions 30 to 523 of the family's 1533-position model. The record is from RNAcentral.
AUUGAACGCUGGCGGAAUGCUUACACAUGCAAGUCGAACGGCAGCACGGACUUCGGUCUGGUGGCGAGUGGCGAACGGGUGAGUAACAUAUCGGAACGUAUCCAAUAAUGGGGGAUAACGAGUCGAAAGAUUCGCUAAUACCGCAUACGCCCUACGGGGGAAAGCUGGGGACCUUCGGGCCUGGCGUUAAUGGAGCGGCCGAUAUCUGAUUAGCUAGUUGGUGAGGUAAAGGCUCACCAAGGCGACGAUCAGUAGCUGGUCUGAGAGGACGACCAGCCACACUGGAACUGAGACACGGUCCAGACUCCUACGGGAGGCAGCUGUGGGGAAUUUUGGACAAUGGGCGCAAGCCUGAUCCAGCCAUUCCGCGUGAGUGAAGAAGGCCUUCGGGUUGUAAAGCUCAUUCGCAAGGGAAGAAAACUUAGCCACUAACAUUGGUUGAGGUUGACGGUACCUUGAUAAGAAGCACCGGCUAACUACGUGCCAGCAGCCGCAGUAA